This 408-nucleotide ribosomal RNA is filed under the name uncultured bacterium. RNAcentral's name for it is "partial 16S ribosomal RNA". It matches the Rfam family "Bacterial small subunit ribosomal RNA", at positions 29 to 526 of the family's 1533-position model. The record is from RNAcentral.
AGUGAACGCUGGCGGCGUGCCUAAUACAUGCAAGUCGAACGGAGUGGCGCCCGGAUGAGUAAUGUAUAGCUAAUCUGACCUACACUAGAGGACAACAGUUGGCAACGACUGCUAAUACUCUAUAGUGUAGGAUGAGGCUAUAUUGUAUCAGCUAGUUGGUGAGGUAAUGGCUCACCAAGGCUAUGACGCAUAACUGGUCUGAGAGGAUGAUCAGUCAAACUGGAACUGAGACACGGUACAGACUCCGACGGGAGGCAGCAGUAGGGAAGAUUGCUCAAUGGGGGAAACCCGGAAGCGGCUACGCCGCGUGGAGGAUGAAACGUUUCGGAGCGUAAACUCCGUUUGUUAUGGAAGCGGUACCUAACGAAUAAGCACCGGCUAACUCCGUGCCAGCCGCCGCGGUAAUAC